AAAUUUAUAAAACAUUAUUAAUAUUUAAACUUAUAAAAAGUUUGAUAUAUCACAAUUGUUUAACAUCAUUAUAUAAUAUAUAGAGUUUAAAAAAAUCUUAAUUUUUUCCGUCAUAUUUUAUGAUUCAAGUUUUUUAAAAUAAACAUAUAUUAACCAACUGGCAAAAAAUGUGUGGGUUCAACGUCCCGCAUCGACAAAAAUAUUUAGACAAUAAUUUAUAAACAUAUCAGAAAUAAGAUCAACAUUAAUAUAAAUAAAUGUUUUUUUUACGGGACGGGUUUGGCGGGACGGGUUUGGCAAGACGUUCUUAAUAAUAAUUGUAAAGUAUAAAAUAAAA
This 337-nucleotide small RNA is filed under the name Arabidopsis thaliana (thale cress). Its description in RNAcentral is "ATSL027560". The record is from RNAcentral. Lineage: Eukaryota; Viridiplantae; Streptophyta; Magnoliopsida; Brassicales; Brassicaceae.